This 253-nucleotide ribosomal RNA is filed under the name uncultured bacterium. RNAcentral describes it as "partial 16S ribosomal RNA". It matches the Rfam family "Bacterial small subunit ribosomal RNA", at positions 524 to 776 of the family's 1533-position model. The record is from RNAcentral.
UACGAAGGGGGCUAGCGUUGCUCGGAAUCACUGGGCGUAAAGGGUGCGUAGGCGGGUCUUUAAGUCAGGGGUGAAAUCCUGGAGCUCAACUCCAGAACUGCCUUUGAUACUGGCGAUCUUGAGUUCGAGAGAGGUGAGUGGAACUGCGAGUGUAGAGGUGAAAUUCGUAGAUAUUCGCAAGAACACCAGUGGCGAAGGCGGCUCACUGGCUCGAUACUGACGCUGAGGUGCGAAAGCGUGGGGAGCAAACAGG